RNAcentral lists this unclassified non-coding RNA (316 nucleotides) under uncultured Aspergillus. Its description in RNAcentral is "sequence contains ITS1". The stretch from base 1 to 105 matches the Rfam family "5.8S ribosomal RNA", at positions 50 to 154 of the family's 154-position model. Lineage: Eukaryota; Fungi; Ascomycota; Eurotiomycetes; Eurotiales; Aspergillaceae. The record is from RNAcentral.
GAAAUGCGAUAACUAGUGUGAAUUGCAGAAUUCCGUGAAUCAUCGAGUCUUUGAACGCACAUUGCGCCCCCUGGUAUUCCGGGGGGCAUGCCUGUCCGAGCGUCAUUGCUGCCCAUCAAGCACGGCUUGUGUGUUGGGUCGUCGUCCCCUCUUCGGGGGGGACGGGCCCCAAAGGCAGCGGCGGCACCGCGUCCGAUCCUCGAGCGUAUGGGGCUUUGUCACCCGCUCUGUAGGCCCGGCCGGCGCUUGCCGAACGCAAAACAACCAUUCUUUCCAGGUUGACCUCGGAUCAGGUAGGGAUACCCGCUGAACUUAA